RNAcentral lists this ribosomal RNA (253 nucleotides) under uncultured bacterium. RNAcentral describes it as "partial 16S ribosomal RNA". It matches the Rfam family "Bacterial small subunit ribosomal RNA", at positions 524 to 776 of the family's 1533-position model. The record is from RNAcentral.
GACGUAGGGCGCGAGCGUUGUCCGGAUUUAUUGGGCGUAAAGAGCUCGUAGGCGGUUUGUCGCGUCUGCUGUGAAAACUGGAGGCUCAACCUCCAGCCUGCAGUGGGUACGGGCAAACUAGAGUGCGGUAGGGGAGAUUGGAAUUCCUGGUGUAGCGGUGAAAUGCGCAGAUAUCAGGAGGAACACCAACGGCGAAGGCAGCACUCUGGGCCGGUACUGACGCUGAGGAGCGAAAGCGUGGGGAGCAAACAGG